RNAcentral lists this ribosomal RNA (447 nucleotides) under uncultured bacterium. RNAcentral's name for it is "bacterial SSU rRNA". It matches the Rfam family "Bacterial small subunit ribosomal RNA", at positions 331 to 793 of the family's 1533-position model. The record is from RNAcentral.
CCAGACUCCUACGGGAGGCAGCAGUGGGGAAUAUUGGGCAAUGGGCGCAAGCCUGACCCAGCAACGCCGCGUGAAGGAAGAAGGCUUUCGGGUUGUAAACUUCUUUUCUGAGGGACGAAGAAAGUGACGGUACCUCAGGAAUAAGCCACGGCUAACUACGUGCCAGCAGCCGCGGUAAUACGUAGGUGGCAAGCGUUAUCCGGAUUUAUUGGGUGUAAAGGGCGUGUAGGCGGUCCGGAAAGUCAGCGGUAAAAGCCGGGGGCUCAACCCCGGCGAGCCGUUGAAACUGUCGGACUAGAGACGGCGAGAGGUACGCGGAAUGCGCGGUGUAGCGGUGAAAUGCAUAGAUAUCGCGCAGAACUCCGAUUGCGAAGGCAGCGUACCGGCGCCGGACUGACGCUGAGGCACGAAAGCGUGGGUAUCGAACAGGAUUAGAUACCCCUGUAA